UCGAGAAUAUUCGACAAUGGGCGAAAGCCUGAUCGAGCGACGCCGCGUGCAGGAUGAAGUGCUUCGGUAUGUAAACUGCUUUUGUGAACCAGAAAGUUUAUUGAUCGGUUCAAGAAUAAGAGGUUGCUAAACUCGUGCCAGCAGCAGCGGUAAUACGAGUGCCUCGAGCGUUAUCCGGAAUCAUUGGGCGUAAAGGGUGUGCAGGUGGUUUUGUUAGUCUUCUGUUAAAUUUCUCGGCUCAACCGGGAACCUGCAGGGGAAACGGCAAGACUAGAGGAUGCGAGAGGUUAACGGAACUCAUAGUGUAGCGGUGAAAUGCGUUGAUAUUAUGGGGAACACCAAAUGCGAAGGCAGUUAACUGGAGCACUCCUGACACUGAAACACGAAAGCGUGGGUAGCGAAUGGG
This 406-nucleotide ribosomal RNA is filed under the name uncultured bacterium. Its description in RNAcentral is "bacterial SSU rRNA". It matches the Rfam family "Bacterial small subunit ribosomal RNA", at positions 355 to 776 of the family's 1533-position model. The record is from RNAcentral.